GGUGGUAGACAGGGUGGAGGCAUCAGAAACCUUUUGCGCAACCUCACGUUCCAGAUCACUGCAACGGCGCUUCACUUUCUUUAACUCAUCAUCCAUUGACUGAUAGUCACGGAGACGAGACAAAGAGGAGAGGCGGCCGUGGAACAAAUAGGCGAGCUGCAAAAAGAGAAAGAAUGAGUAAGGACAUGCUCAUAAAAAUAGUAAAAACAGAAGCACUCACGUUGCUCAGGUUCUGUCCUAUUU
RNAcentral lists this long non-coding RNA (243 nucleotides) under Zostera marina. RNAcentral describes it as "long non-coding RNA (ZMAR_LNC001666)". Lineage: Eukaryota; Viridiplantae; Streptophyta; Magnoliopsida; Alismatales; Zosteraceae. The record is from RNAcentral.